GACGAACGCUGGCGGCGUGCCUAAUACAUGCAAGUCGAGCGGAACUGGGGGAGCUUGCUCCUUCCAGUUUAGCGGCGGACGGGUGAGUAACACGUGGGCAACCUGCCCUGCAGAUCGGGAUAACUCCGGGAAACCGGUGCUAAUACCGAAUAGUUUGGCGCCUCUCCUGAGGCGCCACGGAAAGACGGUUUCGGCUGUCACUGCAGGAUGGGCCCGCGGCGCAUUAGCUAGUUGGUGGGGUAACGGCCCACCAAGGCGACGAUGCGUAGCCGACCUGAGAGGGUGACCGGCCACACUGGGACUGAGACACGGCCCAGACUCCUACGGGAGGCAGCAGUAGGGAAUCUUCCGCAAUGGGCGCAAGUCUGACGGAGCAACGCCGCGUGAGUGACGAAGGUUUUCGGAUCGUAAAACUCUGUUGUGAGGGAAGAACACGUACCAACUAACUAUUGGUACCUUGACGGUACCUCACCAGAAAACCACGGCUAACUACGUGCCAGCCGCCGCCGUAA
This 512-nucleotide ribosomal RNA is filed under the name uncultured bacterium. RNAcentral describes it as "partial 16S ribosomal RNA". It matches the Rfam family "Bacterial small subunit ribosomal RNA", at positions 28 to 523 of the family's 1533-position model. The record is from RNAcentral.